GACGAACGCUGGCGGCGUGCUUAACACAUGCAAGUCGAACGGAAAGGCCCUGCUCUUGUGGGGUGCUCGAGUGGCGAACGGGUGAGUAACACGUGAGUAACCUGCCCAUGACUUUGGGAUAACGCCAGGAAACUGGGGCUAAUACCUGCUAGGAGCUCCUGAUGCAUGGGGGGGGAUGGAAAGUUUCGGCGGUUGGGGAUGGACUCGCGGCUUACCAGCUUGUUGGUGGGGUAGUGGCUUACCAAGGCUUUGACGGGUAGCCGGCCUGGGCGGGUGGCCAGCCACAUUGGGACUAAGGUACGGCCCAGACUCCUACGGGGGGCAGCAGUGGGGAAUAUUGCACAAUGGGCGGAAGCCUGAUGCGGCAGCGCCGCGUGCGUGAUGACGGCCUUCGGGUUGUAAACCGCUUUCGCCUGUGACGAAGCGUGAGUGACGGUAAUGGAUAAAGAAGCACCGGCUAACUACGUG
This 468-nucleotide ribosomal RNA is filed under the name uncultured bacterium. Its description in RNAcentral is "partial 16S ribosomal RNA". It matches the Rfam family "Bacterial small subunit ribosomal RNA", at positions 28 to 507 of the family's 1533-position model. The record is from RNAcentral.